Alosa alosa (allis shad) is the source of this 149-nucleotide long non-coding RNA. RefSeq lists it as uncharacterized. The record is from RefSeq and is a predicted model, not a curated record. NCBI's taxonomy places the organism in Eukaryota, Metazoa, Chordata, Actinopteri, Clupeiformes, Clupeidae. The transcript is spliced from 3 exons.
ACCUGCUCUGUGUGACGCGGGUCCGGUUUUGUCUUGGAUUUGGAGAGAAGGCUGUACCAAAUCAUCAUCCCAGGAUUGUGCCAUUCUUCACUGACCUGACCUGACCACUGAAGUAGUCUACCAAUCUUUCUGCUGCCAUGAGAUGUGAG